UGAUUGUAAGUUUCCUGAGGCCUCCCCAGCCAUGCCUGCUGUAUAGCCUGCAGAACAGUUGGAGUCAAUGAGUAGAGAAAGACAGGAAGAGGGCUUGGUAUAUGCAAAGGCCCUGUGGAAGCAGGGAGUACUGGAAGUCCUUGGAUCAAAAGACAGUCAGUGUGACCAGAGCAAAAGAGUGAGGUGGAGAGUGACGAAAGAUCAACCUGGAGAAGUUAGUAGAACCAGACAAGAAAGUAGACUUUAGCCACAGCCUGGAGAAUGGACCAGAGGAAUCCAGAGGGGACAAAAUAGGGAAGACGUAUUCUGAAGAACACGGAGAUAAACUGUGAUAAGAGCUCAUCAGCCCAGGAUUUGGGUGAGGUAGAUUCUGGCCUCCAUUGUGAUGUUAACUGGAAUACACAACGUUAUCUUCAUCUGCAUCCACUUUUAACUUCUCCAAGGAAGUGUUCCACUGUAAAAGAGCAACUUGACAGGCUGAGCCUGGCGGUGACAGCAUACAGGACGCGUGCAGCCCCCACGCUUCGCAUACAGAAGGUGCUGUGACUACAGCGGAUGCUCUGGAAUCUGCUGGAGAUCUGCAGUCUCCAUUGGUCCUAGUGAGGGGAGACCUUUGACUCCGUCCUCGUGGGGCUUUUUCCCUAAGAGAAGAAGUCUGGUCCGUCUGCUUGGGCCCCCAUCUCAUUUCCCGUUUCCUCAUGAAGGCUGUGACACUCUAUGAACGCCUCACUAUAAAAAGCAGAAGGAAUCAGACCCCACUGAGUAGUGCUGUGGGCCCUGAGGACGCUGUUCCAGAGAGCUCUGUCAUUCUCCCUGACGCUCACAGACACAGGAACAUGACUCAUCAAUGAGACAGUGUUGCCACCCGCCUUUCUCCCAAGCCUCCCUAUAAAAAGAGGAAAUGGCCUCUGACACUGGGAUGUAUGAACAAGAGUUCCACACACAGCACACAGCCUGAGAACUUCUGCCAUGGACUUCCGCACUGCUUGUAGGAUGCUGGUCUCAUGUUUGGGUUUUCAACCACAAAUCCAAAGAAAAUGUUACUUGAAGUAUGAUUUGUAGGGAGCAACCUAAAGACUGAUUCAGAAGGAAAAACAAAGGUCAAAUGGUGCCACUGUGAUAUGACUUCUGCAAUUUAAAAAAUAAUUCUACUUUUUUAAAAGAAUAUUUUAGCAAUGGAGAAGAUGGACAUGAAAAGAUCUAUAAUUAGGCUGGGCAUGGUGGCUCACGCCUGUAAUCCCAGCACUUUGGGAGGCUGAGGAGGGUGGAUCACCUGAGGU
This is a non-coding RNA of Macaca mulatta (Rhesus monkey), 1280 nucleotides long. The record is from RefSeq and is a predicted model, not a curated record. NCBI's taxonomy places the organism in Eukaryota, Metazoa, Chordata, Mammalia, Primates, Cercopithecidae.